GGGCGCGUAGCUCAGCGGUAGAGCACCUGUCUUACACACAGGCGGUCGCAGGUUCGAGACCUGCCGCGCCCA
Molecule: transfer RNA, 72 nt
Filed under: Rhodococcus antarcticus
Lineage: Bacteria; Bacillati; Actinomycetota; Actinomycetes; Mycobacteriales; Nocardiaceae
Description: Rhodococcus sp. 75 tRNA-Val
Rfam family: tRNA
About the family: Transfer RNA (tRNA) molecules are approximately 80 nucleotides in length.
Source: RNAcentral